GCCCGCCUAGCUCAAUCGGAUAGAGCGUCAGACUUUUAAGAUCAUUUCAAUCUGAAGGCUGCGAGUUCGACCCUCGCGGUGGGCU
Molecule: transfer RNA, 85 nt
Filed under: Laccaria bicolor S238N-H82
Lineage: Eukaryota; Fungi; Basidiomycota; Agaricomycetes; Agaricales; Hydnangiaceae
Rfam family: tRNA
About the family: Transfer RNA (tRNA) molecules are approximately 80 nucleotides in length.
Source: Rfam by way of RNAcentral